GUGUGUGUGUGUGUGUGUGUGUAUUUAGCAGUCUGUGUGUGUAUUCAUCAGACUGUGUACUCAGCAGUCUGUGUGUGUGUAUUCAGCAGUCUGCUAAAUACAGACAGACUGCUAAAUACACACAGACAGACUG
RNAcentral lists this microRNA precursor (133 nucleotides) under Pelobates cultripes (western spadefoot toad). The record is from RNAcentral. Lineage: Eukaryota; Metazoa; Chordata; Amphibia; Anura; Pelobatidae.